GGUUAAGUGACUAAGCGUACACGGUGGAUGCCUGGGCAGUCAGAGGCGAUGAAGGACGUACUAACUUGCGAUAAGCGCAGAUAAGGCAGUAAGAGCCGUUUGAGUCUGCGAUUUCCGAAUGGGGAAACCCAACUGCAUAAGCAGUUACUGUUAACUGAAUACAUAGGUUAACAGAGCAAACCGGGGGAACUGAAACAUCUAAGUACCCCGAGGAGAAGAAAUCAACCGAGAUUCCGGUAGUAGCGGCGAGCGAACCUGGAUUAGCCCUUAAGCACUCGGUGAAGUAGGUGAACAAGCUGGAAAGCUUGGCGAUACAGGGUGAUAGCCCCGUAACCGACGCUUCAUCGAGCGUGAAAUCGAGUAGGGCGGGACACGUGAUAUCCUGUCUGAAUAUGGGGGGACCAUCCUCCAAGGCUAAAUACUCCUGACUGACCGAUAGUGAACCAGUACCGUG
Molecule: ribosomal RNA, 454 nt
Filed under: Vibrio cholerae
Lineage: Bacteria; Pseudomonadati; Pseudomonadota; Gammaproteobacteria; Vibrionales; Vibrionaceae
Also listed under: 1 other name
Description: partial 23S ribosomal RNA
Rfam family: Bacterial large subunit ribosomal RNA
Source: RNAcentral